GAGUUUGAUCCUGGCUCAGGAUGAACGCUAGCGGCAGGCCUAACACAUGCAAGUCGAGGGGUAACAUAAAGUGCUUGCACUUUGAUGACGACCGGCGCACGGGUGAGUAACGCGUAUACAAUCUGCCUCAUACUAGGGGAUAGCCCAGAGAAAUUUGGAUUAAUACCCUAUAGUAUCAUUUAGAGUCGUCUCUUUAUGAUUAAAGGUUACGGUAUGAGAUGGGUAUGCGUUCUAUUAGUUAGUAGGUGAGGUAACGGCUCACCUAGACCACGAUAGAUAGGGGCCCUGAGAGGGGGAUCCCCCACACUGGUACUGAGACACGGACCAGACUCCUACGGGAGGCAGCAGUGAGGAAUAUUAGACAAUGGGCGAAAGCCUGAUCUAGCCAUGCCGCGUGCAGGAUGACGGCCCUAUGGGUUGUAAACUGCUUUUAUACAGGAAGAAAAAACUCUACGUGUAGAGUCUUGACGGUACUGUAAGAAUAAGGAUCGGCUAACUCCGUGCCAGCAGCCGCGGUAAUACGGAGGAUCCAAGCGUUAUCCGGAAUUAUUGGGUUUAGAGGGUCCGUAGGUGGACAAUUAAGUCAGAGGUGAAAUCCUGCAGCUCAACUGUAGAAUUGCCUUUGAAACUGGUUGUCUUGAGUCAUUAUGAAGUGGUUAGAAUGUGUAGUGUAGCGGUGAAAUGCAUAGAUAUUACACAGAAUACCAAUUGCGAAGGCAGAUCACUAAUAAUGUACUGACACUGAUGGACGAAAGCGUGGGUAGCGAACAGGAUUAGAUACCCUGGUAGUCCACGCCGUAAACGAUGGUCACUAGCUGUUCGGACUUCGGUCUGAGUGGCUAAGCGAAAGUGAUAAGUGACCCACCUGGGGAGUACGUUCGCAGGAAUGAAACUCAAAGGAAUUGACGGGGGCCCGCACAAGCGGUGGAGCAUGUGGUUUAAUUCGAUGAUACGCGAGGAACCUUACCGGGGCUUAAAUGUAGAGUGACAGGUCUAGAGAUAGAUUUUUCUUCGGACACUUUACAAGGUGCUGCAUGGUUGUCGUCAGCUCGUGCCGUGAGGUGUCAGGUUAAGUCCUAUAACGAGCGCAACCCCUGUUGUUAGUUGCCAGCGAGUAAUGUCGGGAACUCUAGCAAGACUGCCAGUGCAAACUGUGAGGAAGGUGGGGAUGACGUCAAAUCAUCACGGCCCUUACGUCCUGGGCUACACACGUGCUACAAUGGUAGGUACAGAGAGCAGCCAAUGCGUGAGCAUGAGCGAAUCUAUAAAACCUAUCUCAGUUCGGAUCGGAGUCUGCAACUCGACUCCGUGAAGCUGGAAUCGCUAGUAAUCGGAUAUCAGCCAUGAUCCGGUGAAUACGUUCCCGGGCCUUGUACACACCGCCCGUC
RNAcentral lists this ribosomal RNA (1388 nucleotides) under uncultured marine bacterium. Its description in RNAcentral is "bacterial SSU rRNA". It matches the Rfam family "Bacterial small subunit ribosomal RNA". The record is from RNAcentral.